UAAGUGAUAACUUUCAAAAUCCGUCGACUUUAUAAAUCGUGAGGGUUCAAGUCCCUCUAUCCCCAA
RNAcentral lists this transfer RNA (66 nucleotides) under Persicaria strigosa. RNAcentral describes it as "tRNA-Leu". Lineage: Eukaryota; Viridiplantae; Streptophyta; Magnoliopsida; Caryophyllales; Polygonaceae. The record is from RNAcentral.